Molecule: ribosomal RNA, 481 nt
Filed under: uncultured bacterium
Lineage: Bacteria
Description: SSU rRNA
Rfam family: Bacterial small subunit ribosomal RNA
Source: RNAcentral
AGGACGAACGCUGGCGGCGUGCUUAACACAUGCAAGUCGAGCGAGGCCUCUCCUUCGGGAGAGUGUCCUAGCGGCGAACGGGUGAGUAACACGUGGGCAACCUGCCCCUAGCAUCGGGAUAAGCCCGGGAAACCGGUCUAAUACCGAAUACGAUCUCAGAAGGCAUCUUCUGAGAUGGAAAAGGUUACUGGCUAGGGGAUGGGCCCGCGGCCUAUCAGCUUGUUGGUGGGGUAAAAGGCCUACCAAGGCGACGACGGGUAGCCGGCCUGAGAGGGCGACCGGCCACACUGGGACUGAGACACGGCCCAGACUCCUACGGGAGGCAGCAGUGGGGAAUAUUGCACAAUGGGCGAAAGCCUGAUGCAGCGACGCCGCGUGAGGGAUGACUGCCUUCGGGUUGUAAACCUCUUUCAGCAGGGACGAAGCGAAAGUGACGGUACCUGCAGAAGAAGCACGGCCAACUACGCGCCAGCAGCCGCGG